This 318-nucleotide ribosomal RNA is filed under the name Triticum aestivum (bread wheat). RNAcentral's name for it is "partial small subunit ribosomal RNA". Lineage: Eukaryota; Viridiplantae; Streptophyta; Magnoliopsida; Poales; Poaceae. The record is from RNAcentral.
AUGCUUUCCUUCGUCACCAGCUCCUCUGAAAUAGGUUUUCUUCUCCAUAUUUCGAGCUCUUUUUUUGUUCGCGCAAUGCGCUUCUCCAGAUCGCCAAGAAUGUUUUUACUCCAGUCUGCCAACUCGUUUGCCACUUCUUUUAUAUUGUCAGUCACCCCUCCUCCAUGCACCUCGCUGCUUUUCUUCCAAGCAUUUCCCACUAUACCCCCACACGCCUCUUAUUCCAGCCAUUUAGCUUCAAACCUAAAACCUCUCUUUCCACUAUGGCCACCACCACUACUACCUCCUGCUUCUAGCUCAAUGAUUAAGGGUCAGUGA